This 523-nucleotide ribosomal RNA is filed under the name Follicularia texensis. RNAcentral's name for it is "partial 18S ribosomal RNA". The stretch from base 42 to 388 matches the Rfam family "Group I catalytic intron". Rfam says of the family: Group I catalytic introns are large self-splicing ribozymes. The record is from RNAcentral. Lineage: Eukaryota; Viridiplantae; Chlorophyta; Chlorophyceae; Sphaeropleales; Radiococcaceae.
UGCUGCCGAGAAGUUCAUUAAACCCUCCCACCUAGAGGAAGGAGAAGUCGUAACAAGGUUUCCGUUAACUACCUAGCGGAAGUGGCUGUCAAAAGCAGCCGCUAGUGGUGGGCUCUGCUUGCCCACCGCGAGACUGUCAAAUUGCCGGGAAGUCCUGUCUAACACGCUGUAGGUACCGCUGUGGUAGCGAAAGCUGCCUCAGCACCAUAGGGUAAACCUAUGGGUAUGGUAACAAUCCUGCAGCCAGGGAUAACCGGCAGCCAAGCCCUAAGGGGAGGCAAGUGCCAUCCUAUGGGUGCAGUUCACAGACUAAAUGGCAGUCGGGGCUCGCUGCUUGCAAGGCAGUAUGAGCUCUUAAGAUAUAGUCGGGCUGUGCUGAGAAGCACUCUGAUGGAGGAUUGGUCACAAGACCAUGAGAGCCAUCAGAGGCAUUGAUCAUACCCACGUGAGCUAUUGCGUGGGGCUUGUGUGACCACAGGCUCAAUGCCAGACCAACCGAGGUGAACCUGCGGAAGGAUCAUUG